RNAcentral lists this ribosomal RNA (253 nucleotides) under uncultured bacterium. RNAcentral's name for it is "partial 16S ribosomal RNA". It matches the Rfam family "Bacterial small subunit ribosomal RNA", at positions 524 to 776 of the family's 1533-position model. The record is from RNAcentral.
UACGUAGGGUGCAAGCGUUAAUCGGAAUUACUGGGCGUAAAGCGAGCGCAGGCGGCUAUAUAAGACAGAUGUGAAAUCCCCGGGCUUAACCUGGGAACUGCAUUUGUGACUGUAUGGCUAGAGUGUGUCAGAGGGAGGUAGAAUUCCGCGUGUAGCAGUGAAAUGCGUAGAUAUGCGGAGGAAUACCGAUGGCGAAGGCAGCCUCCUGGGAUAACACUGACGCUCAUGCUCGAAAGCGUGGGGAGCAAACAGG